GACGAGCCGUACGAACGUUAUUCGGAAUCACUGGGCUUAAAGGGUGCGUAGGUGGGCAGGUAAGUCAGUGGUGAAAUCUCUGGGCUUAACCCGGAAACUGCCGUUGAUACUAUCUGUCUUGAAUAUAGUGGAGGUGAGCGGAAUAUGUCAUGUAGCGGUGAAAUGCUUAGAUAUGACAUAGAACAUCGAUUGCGAAGGCAGCUCGCUACACUAUGAUUGACACUGAGGCACGAAAGCGUGGGGAUCAAACAGG
This 253-nucleotide ribosomal RNA is filed under the name uncultured bacterium. Its description in RNAcentral is "partial 16S ribosomal RNA". It matches the Rfam family "Bacterial small subunit ribosomal RNA", at positions 524 to 776 of the family's 1533-position model. The record is from RNAcentral.